UAGCUCAGUUGGUAGGGCAUGGUGUUUGCAACGCCAGGGUUGUGGGUUCGAUUCCCAC
Non-coding RNA from Salmo salar (Atlantic salmon), 58 nucleotides. NCBI's taxonomy places the organism in Eukaryota, Metazoa, Chordata, Actinopteri, Salmoniformes, Salmonidae. The record is from Rfam.